CCUACGGGUGGCAGCAGUCGAGAAUCAUUCACAAUGGGGGAAACCCUGAUGGUGCGACGCCGCGUGGGGGAAUGAAGGUCUUCGGAUUGUAAACCCCUGUCAUGUGGGAGCAAAUUAAAAAGAUAGUACCACAAGAGGAAGAGACGGCUAACUCUGUGCCCGCAGCCGCGGUAAUACAGAGGGCUCAAGCGUUGUUCGGAAUCACGGGGCGUAAAGCGUGCGUAGGCUGUUUCGUAAGUCGUGUGUGAAAGGCGCGGGCUCAACCCGCGGACGGCACAUGAUACUGCGAGACUCGUGUAAAGGAGGGGGAACCGGAAUUCUCGGGGUAGCAGUGAAAUGCGUAGAUAUCGGGAGGAACACACGUGGCGAAGGCGGGUUCCUGGACAUUAACUGACGCUGAGGCACGAAGGCCAGGGGAGCGAAAGGGAUUAGAUACCCCAGUAGUC
RNAcentral lists this ribosomal RNA (446 nucleotides) under uncultured bacterium. Its description in RNAcentral is "partial 16S ribosomal RNA". It matches the Rfam family "Bacterial small subunit ribosomal RNA", at positions 338 to 795 of the family's 1533-position model. The record is from RNAcentral.